Molecule: long non-coding RNA, 326 nt
Organism: Electrophorus electricus (electric eel)
Lineage: Eukaryota; Metazoa; Chordata; Actinopteri; Gymnotiformes; Gymnotidae
Source: RefSeq, a predicted model, not a curated record
CCUACAGUGCCUCAGUGAGAAGCAAGCGAUGAAACCCUUCUACCGGAGACACCUCACGCACAUGACGCCGUGGAGCAGGGCGUCGACGCCAAAGCACAAGCAGAUGGGGAUCAUACUAAGUACACAGAAGAAAAAAGGCCAGAAGGAGUAAAGCCAACAAAUGUCAAUGCAGACUUUGCCAAGAGGCUCUGAACUACAACUCCUGGAGCUUUCAAGAGAAAAGGUUACCUCUGCAGACUGACAAGGCCGAGUUGGAACUUUUCAAGCCAGAGAAGUCAGCCCAUGGCCGCCACGCUGGCGGGCUGACACAGGAGCCGCCAUUUCCU